UGGAUAAGCGCCAAUGAUGUUAUGCUUCCAAGAAAAGCUCGUACACCUCUAAAAGUAAUUUUAGAAAAACACAAAAAUAACCUGUACCUGAAACCGACACAGGUAGGUUGGUAGAGAAUACCAAGGGGCGCGAGAGAACUCUCUCUAAGGAACUCGGCAAACUAGCCCCGUAACUUCGGAAGAAGGGGCGCCCUUUGAAAAAAGGGUCGCAGUGACGAGGUUCUGGCAACUGUUUAUCAAAAACACAGGUCUCCGCAAAGUCGUAAGACAAUAUAUGGGGGCUGACGCCUGCCCAGUGCCGGAAGGUCAAGGAAGUUGGUUAGAAGUCUUCGGAUUUCGAAGCUGACGACCGAAGCCCCGGUGAACGGCGGCUGUAACAAUGACAGUCCUAAGGUAGCGAAAUUCAUUGUCGAGUAAGUUUCGACCUGCACGAAAGGCGUAAUGAUCAGAACGCUGUCUCGGAGAGAGGCUCGGGAAAUAGACUUGUCCGUGAAGAUGCGGACUACUAAUACUUGGACAGAAAGACCCUAUGAAGCUUGACUGUAUCCUGGAAUUGGGUUCGGGCUUUUCUUGCGCAGUCUAGGUGGGAGGCUAUGAAGAUUUCCUUCUAGGGAAGUUGGAGCCAAAAGUGAGAGACCACUCUGGAGAGGCUAGAAUCCUAAUGGUGAUCCUUGAAUCAGGACACUUGACAGUUUCAGGUGGGCAGUUUUUCUGGGGCGGAAGCCUCAUAAAAGGUAACUGAGGCGCGCAAAGGUUCCCUCAGUCUGGACGGAAAUCAGACAGUGAGUGUAAAGGCAAAAGGAGCUUGACUGCAAGACCAACAAGUCGAGCAGGAGCGAAAGCUGGCCUUAGUGAUCCGACGGUGCCGAGUGGAAGGGCCGUCGCUCAACGAAUAAAAGUUACUCUAGGAUAACAGGCUGAUCUUCUCCAAGAGUUCACAUCGACGAGAAGGUUUGGCACCUCGAUGUCGGCUCAUCACAUCCUGGGGCUGUAGUAGGCCCCAAGGGUUGGGCUGUUCGCCCAUUAAAGUGGUACGUGAGCUGGGUUCAGAACGUCGUAAGACAGUUCGGUCCAUAUCCGGUAUUAGCGUUAGAAUAUUGAGGUCAGUCACUCAUAGUACGAGAUGACCUGUAGUGAACAUGCCAAUGGUGUACCUGUUAUUUUUCCAAAAGUAAACGCAGGGUAGCCACGCAUGGAGUGAAUAAGUACUGAAUGCAUCUAAGUACGAAGUCCAGACCAAGAUGAGUAUUCUCCAUAAAGCCGCAGCAAGACAAGCUGUCGUAUAGGUAUCAAGUGUAAGGCCAGUAAUGGUUUCAGCUGAGAUAUACUAAAGGCUAAUUGA
This 1342-nucleotide ribosomal RNA is filed under the name metagenome. Its description in RNAcentral is "bacterial LSU rRNA". It matches the Rfam family "Bacterial large subunit ribosomal RNA", at positions 1554 to 2915 of the family's 2925-position model. The record is from RNAcentral.